Molecule: ribosomal RNA, 142 nt
Filed under: uncultured eukaryote
Lineage: Eukaryota
Description: partial 18S ribosomal RNA
Rfam family: Eukaryotic small subunit ribosomal RNA
Source: RNAcentral
UGGUGGAGUGAUUUGUCUGGUUAAUUCCGUUAACGAACGAGACCUCGACCUGCUAAAUAGUUCGUGCUAGCCUUUGGGCUAGCGACGCGACUUCUUAGAGGGACUAUCGGUGUGUAGCCGAUGGAAGUUCGAGGCAAUAACA